AAGCAUCUAUCUGACAGACCUGGAACAGGUCUGCUCAACUGUCUGCUGCUCAGAUGCUACAGAAAGUGUCCUUGGGCUUUCUGUCUGUCCAAUUGUGGCAGCCAAGAUUGAAUAAGGGAAUAAAUAU
Molecule: small nucleolar RNA, 127 nt
Organism: Equus asinus (donkey)
Lineage: Eukaryota; Metazoa; Chordata; Mammalia; Perissodactyla; Equidae
Source: Ensembl